GCAAAGAACAAGAUCCUCAUGGGGCUGAGAGGCGGAGUGUUGAAAUAGACAAGAAGAACAAGACAAUUACUGCGUACCAUGAGUCUGGUCAUGCCAUCGUUGCCUAUUACACCAAAGAUGCAAUGCCCAUCAAUAAGGCCACGAUUAUGCCCAGAGGACCAACUCUUGGACAUGUGUCCAUGCUCCCUGAGAACGACCGCUGGAGUGAGACACGAGCUCAGCUCCUGGCUCAGAUGGACGUCAGCUUGGGCGGUUGAGUAGCAGAGGAGCUCAUCUUUGGGGAUGACUACA
Long non-coding RNA from Salarias fasciatus (jewelled blenny), 291 nucleotides. RefSeq lists it as uncharacterized. The record is from RefSeq and is a predicted model, not a curated record. NCBI's taxonomy places the organism in Eukaryota, Metazoa, Chordata, Actinopteri, Blenniiformes, Blenniidae. The transcript has 3 exons.